RNAcentral lists this ribosomal RNA (473 nucleotides) under uncultured delta proteobacterium. RNAcentral's name for it is "bacterial SSU rRNA". It matches the Rfam family "Bacterial small subunit ribosomal RNA", at positions 400 to 863 of the family's 1533-position model. The record is from RNAcentral. Lineage: Bacteria; Deltaproteobacteria.
CGUGAGUGAUGAAGGCUUUCGGGUCGUAAAGCUCUGUCAAGUGGGAAGAAACCAUAUGGUGUUAAUAUCACCUUAUGUUGACGGUACCACUGAAGGAAGCACCGGCUAACUCCGUGCCAGCAGCCGCGGUAAUACGGGGGGUGCGAGCGUUAUUCGGAAUUACUGGGCGUAAAGAGCGCGUAGGCGGUCUUUUAAGUCAGGUGUGAAAGCCCGGGGCUCAACCCCGGAAGUGCACUUGAAACUAUGAGACUUGAGUAUGGGAGAGGGAAGUGGAAUUCCUGGUGUAGCGGUGAAAUGCGUAGAUAUCAGGAGGAACAUCGGUGGCGAAGGCGACUUCCUGGACCAAUACUGACGCUGAGGCGCGAAGGCGUGGGGAGCAAACAGGAUUAGAUACCCUGGUAGUCCACGCAGUAAACGGUGAACACUAGGUGUAGCGGGUAUUGACCCCUGCUGUGCCGCAGCAAACGCAUUAA